GAUGAACGCUGGCGGCGUGCCUAAUACAUGCAAGUCGAGCGAACAGACGAGGAGCUUGCUCCUCUGACGUUAGCGGCGGACGGGUGAGUAACACGUGGAUAACCUACCUAUAAGACUGGGAUAACUUCGGGAAACCGGAGCUAAUACCGGAUAAUAUAUUGAACCGCAUGGUUCAAUAGUGAAAGACGGUUUUGCUGUGACUUAUAGAUGGAUCCGCGCCGCAUUAGCUAGUUGGUAAGGUAACGGCUUACCAAGGCAACGAUGCGUAGCCGACCUGAGAGGGGGAUCGGCCACACUGGAACUGAGACACGGUCCAGACUCCUACGGGAGGCAGCAGUAGGGAAUCUUGCGAAAUGGGCGAAAGCCUGACGGAGCAACGCCGCGUGAGUGAUGAAGGUCUUCGGAUCGUAAAACUCUGUUAUUAGGGAAGAACAAAUGUGUAAGUAACUAUGCACGUCUUGACGGUACCUAAUCAGAAAGCCACGGCUAACUACGUG
RNAcentral lists this ribosomal RNA (497 nucleotides) under uncultured bacterium. RNAcentral's name for it is "partial 16S ribosomal RNA". It matches the Rfam family "Bacterial small subunit ribosomal RNA", at positions 28 to 507 of the family's 1533-position model. The record is from RNAcentral.